Molecule: transfer RNA, 76 nt
Filed under: Candidatus Hydrogenedentota bacterium
Lineage: Bacteria; Pseudomonadati; Candidatus Hydrogenedentota
Also listed under: 1 other name
Description: tRNA-Lys
Rfam family: tRNA
About the family: Transfer RNA (tRNA) molecules are approximately 80 nucleotides in length.
Source: RNAcentral
GGACGGGUAGCUCAGGUGGUAGAGCAUCGGACUUUUAAUCCGGUGGCCGUGGGUUCGAGUCCCACCCCGUUCACCA